AAUCUUCCGCAAUGGACGAAAGUCUGACGGAGCGAUGCCGCGUGAGUGAUGAAGGUCUUCGGACCGUACAACUCUGUUGUUGGGGAAGCACAAGUAUCGGAGUAAUGUGCCGGUACCUUGACGGUACCUUACCAGAAAGCCCCUGCCAACUACCUGCCAGCCGCCGCGGUAAGACGUAGGGGGCAAGCGUGGUCCGAAAUUAUUGGGCGUAAAGGGCACGCAGGCGGGUAUUUAAGUCGGACGUAAAAUCUUGUGGCUAAACCACAAACAGUAAUUGGAAACUGGAUAACUUGAGUACAGAAGAGGAGAGUGGAAUUCCAAGUGUAGCGGUGAAAUGCGUAGAGAUGUGGAGGAACACCAGUGGCGAAGGCGGCUCUCUGGUCUGUAACUGACGCUGAGGUGCGAAAGCGUGGGUAGCGAACA
RNAcentral lists this ribosomal RNA (423 nucleotides) under uncultured bacterium. RNAcentral's name for it is "partial 16S ribosomal RNA". It matches the Rfam family "Bacterial small subunit ribosomal RNA", at positions 360 to 774 of the family's 1533-position model. The record is from RNAcentral.